GCGACAGGCUUAACACAUGCAAGUCGAGGGGCAGCACAGGUAGCAAUACCGGGUGGCGACCGGCGCACGGGUGAGUAACGCGUAUGCAACUUACCUAUCAGAGGGGGAUAACCCGGCGAAAGUCGGACUAAUACCGCAUGAAGCAGGGGCCCCGCAUGGGGAUAUUUGCUAAAGAUUCAUCGCUGAUAGAUAGGCAUGCGUUCCAUUAGGCAGUUGGCGGGGUAACGGCCCACCAAACCGACGAUGGAUAGGGGUUCUGAGAGGAAGGUCCCCCACAUUGGUACUGAGACACGGACCAAACUCCUACGGGAGGCAGCAGUGAGGAAUAUUGGUCAAUGGCCGAGAGGCUGAACCAGCCAAGUCGCGUGAGGGAUGAAGGUUCUAUGGAUCGUAAACCUCUUUUAUAAGGGAAUAAAGUGCGGGACGUGUCCCGUUUUGUAUGUACCUUAUGAAUAAGGAUCGGCUAACUCCGUGCCAGCAGCCGCGGUAAUACGGAGGAUCCGAGCGUUAUCCGGAUUUAUUGGGUUUAAAGGGUGCGUAGGCGGCCUUUUAAGUCAGCGGUGAAAGUCUGUGGCUCAACCAUAGAAUUGCCGUUGAAACUGGGGGGCUUGAGUAUGUUUGAGGCAGGCGGAAUGCGUGGUGUAGCGGUGAAAUGCAUAGAUAUCACGCAGAACCCCGAUUGCGAAGGCAGCCUGCCAAGCCAUGACUGACGCUGAUGCACGAAAGCGUGGGGAUCAAACAGGAUUAGAUACCCUGGUAGUCCACGCAGUAAACGAUGAUCACUAGCUGUUUGCGAUACACUGUAAGCGGCACAGCGAAAGCGUUAAGUGAUCCACCUGGGGAGUACGCCGGCAACGGUGAAACUCAAAGGAAUUGACGGGGGCCCGCACAAGCGGAGGAACAUGUGGUUUAAUUCGAUGAUACGCGAGGAACCUUACCCGGGUUUGAACGCAUUCGGACCGAGGUGGAAACACCUUUUCUAGCAAUAGCCGUUUGCGAGGUGCUGCAUGGUUGUCGUCAGCUCGUGCCGUGAGGUGUCGGCUUAAGUGCCAUAACGAGCGCAACCCUUGCCACUAGUUACUAACAGGUGAUGCUGAGGACUCUGGUGGGACUGCCAGCGUAAGCUGCGAGGAAGGCGGGGAUGACGUCAAAUCAGCACGGCCCUUACAUCCGGGGCGACACACGUGUUACAAUGGCGUGAACAAAGGGAGGCCACCUGGCGACAGGGAGCGAAUCCCCAAACCACGUCUCAGUUCGGAUCGGAGUCUGCAACCCGACUCCGUGAAGCUGGAUUCGCUAGUAAUCGCGCAUCAGCCAUGGCGCGGUGAAUACGUUCCCGGGCCUUGUACACACCGCCCGUCAAGCCAUGGGAGCCGGGGGUACCUGAAGUCCGUAACCGCGAGGAUCGGCCUAGGGUAAAACUGGUGACUGGGGCUAAGU
This 1440-nucleotide ribosomal RNA is filed under the name uncultured organism. RNAcentral describes it as "16S ribosomal RNA". It matches the Rfam family "Bacterial small subunit ribosomal RNA". The record is from RNAcentral.